This is a long non-coding RNA of Macaca mulatta (Rhesus monkey), 5261 nucleotides long. RefSeq lists it as uncharacterized. Lineage: Eukaryota; Metazoa; Chordata; Mammalia; Primates; Cercopithecidae. The record is from RefSeq and is a predicted model, not a curated record.
AAAGAUAUUUUGAGUCUAACGUCUGGAUAUAUUGUGUCCAACAUUAAUCUUUGUUUUUUUUCUCUUUCCAUAGAAAUGCCUCUUAUUAAAAACCUGUUUGCCUUCAUUAAUAUAGAGGCUCAGCCUAUUUGCAAUGCCACCUCCUGGAAUGAGACACAGCUGUUUAACUAAACUAAUAUAUUCUCAGGACUAGGAAGCUGACUCAACAAAGGUGUGGAUGGUUGAAGCUUGUAUCUUCCAGGCUUCAACAGUCUCCACUCAAGCUGAUGAUGGAAUAACAUAUACUAUACUAGGAGAAUCUAAGUCCCUAUAAAUCAUUAGAUCAGUCAGCAAGAGAUUUUUACAACCUCCAAUGUUAGGCAAGGACAACAGUCCAGUUCAGGAAGAAGCAGCUCCAGAAGACAAGACCUCCAGCCCCUUCUCCUUAAAAAUAAGGAAGGUAAUGGGAGAAGAUGGUAUACUAUCCAACUAAUUUUAUGGAAUCUGUGGAUUAUGCUCUUUAGAAAGGAAGAUUUCCUCCCUCAAACAAGACCAUGAGGAGCCUGGGCCAGAGUUUUCUGCUCUUAUGAUACUGAUGAUUCUCGAAGAUUGCACCAUCCACCUUUGAGGUUGCUGACUCCCAGUUGAUUGCUGGCCUGCCACUCAUCCUGUGCUGUUUUCUUGGAGCCUGACCUCCUCAGUGAUUGCUGCUGGAGAGGCUGAAUGGUGCAACCUGGAAGUGCAGAGUAGUUGAUGCUCUGUGGUGGAAACCAACCAGAUGGAGAGAGGAGUCUGCAGAGAAGUCUUCUCUUUCUUCCUCACCCCAGAGCAUACUGCUUGUGGGAAAUGGAGGGAAGGCCAACGGUCCCGACAAUGUUUGGUCAGAGCACCUCGUUCCAGGUGAUCGCCCACCUUACUGCUGCAUAGACCUGCUGUGUACCCCGAUCCCGGCCAGUCCUCUAGCCCCUCUUCCCAGCACUCAGGACGGCGGAUUUCACAUGACCAAAGACCACCCUGUGACAACAGCGUCGGAACCACGGCACUUCCGCCUGCGGCCGGUGGGACUACAAAUCCCAACAGCCCCGCGCAAGUCUCGCCCCAUACCACCUCCUCCCAACACGACUCCCAGAACCCUCCGCGAGACGCCAGGGCCUCGAAAUAGAACAAAACCGGCCGGUGGGGGAGGGGGAAGGUGAGGGUCUCGGAGGACACCGGGGGUUAGAGAGCACUCUGCAGACGCCGAAGACCCAAGCAAGCCUGCCGCCUACCUCUCCCCGCCCCACAACUGCUAGGCGCGGAGAGCGCGGCCUGUUCCCCGCGCCUCCCGGGAAGCUGAGGAAGGUCCCGGGAAGGCUUCCCCGCCGGCUCCUGCUAAGAGGUCCGCAGACCCUAGCCCGGUGUCCCCCUCCCUCCCAUAACGUUCCCCGCACACCGGCGCAAACCUCUGGCUCAGGAACCGCAGCAGCUUCGCUGUCCACGGCAGACGCAGAAACACCGUUCACAAGCCUUUUCCCAGAAGCCCCCGGCACGGGCUGCUUCCGGUCUGCGGGCCUGAGGAGGCGGGGAGAGGUAAAGCCCACGUUGCCAUGGAGAAGCUCCCCGGGCGGGGGAGGGGCGGCCCCACGACAAUGACCGCAUUGAGGCUGCGCUUGGCCUCGCGCCUCGAACAGCCUAGCGUCCUCUGGACCGUUUAAAAGAAAAGUAGAGGACUCUACCAUUAAGAUAGUCCUUACAGUUUCGCAAGCCCUUUCACGUGCAUUAUCUUGUGGAUCCUCUAAGUAAUUCCCUGCAAGAAGGAAUAAAAGCGAGUAUUUGUGAAAGCUUACUACACUGUGCCAGGCGCUCUCGUCGUGCUUUACAUGUCAUUUAUUUUUUCACAAAUAAAUGAUGUAGGAACUUUCAUUAUCCCCAUUGCACAGCUGAGAUAGUUGAGGCACAAAUACAGUAAGUAACUUGACAAGAGCUCACAACUCAUUUGUGGGUAGCAAGAUUUGAAACCAAGACGUGAUUCAAAUCUUUGGCUCCCACUAGUUAUGUCACGGAGCUUUAUUCUGACCUAUUUGUCAGGAAAACUAGAUGAGACAGGUUAAGGGUUUUGGCAACGAUGUCACGGUGAAUUUGUAGAAUGCAUGGUCAUCUUCAAGCUGGGCAUUUUAUACCAUAAAACAGCUGCUGACGCAAUCAUUUAUUACAAAUCAGACCACUUCACUCCCCUAUUUAAAGCCCUCCAAUUUAUGCCAUAAUAAUUUAUGACAUAAAAACUCCUUAUAAUGUCUUGUAAGUCCCCCAUGGUCUGUUGCCUGCCCGCACCCCCAGACCCUGGCGCCCCCAGUCACCUCAGCUCUUCAGCUCCGUGUGGCCCAAGAUCCUCAGCCUCACCGCCAGCCUUUCAUGACACAUGACCCUUCAUGGCACUAUUAUUAAUGGAAGUGAUCUCAUUUAUUUACUUGUUUUUUGUUUUGUUUUGCCUUUAAGUCCCUUAAGGGCAGGGACCUUGACUGUCUUGUUCACCACAGCAUCCCAGCCUAGACCCAGGAAGCUGACUGCCUGGUAAAUAGAGAACACAAUAAAUGUUUGUUGAAUAAAUAAAUGAAUUGUGGGAUGGUUACAUUGCUGCCUUUAGUUAGGUCACAUGAUUGGCAUCAGACACCACACAAAGGAGCCCUGUUGUUUAAGGACUGGUCAAAAGUGUAGAUCCAACCUAACAUAAGCAUUUCAAGUUCCUCAGGCUUUGACUUUUUGCCUCAUUCGGGAAAAUGCCCUCUGCAAAGUGCCGUCAGGCUCUGCUGGGUUCGUGCAUGAAGACAGCAAGUGAGCCAGCAGCUGAUGAGAUGAGGUCUUCCUAUGUUUCCUGGACUGCUCUCCAACUCCUGGGCACAAGUGACCCUCCUGCCUUGGCCUCCUAAAUUGCUAGGAUUGCAGGUGUGAGCCACCGUACCUGGCCUCCAUUCUAUUCCUAAUUCCUUCUAAAAUACUACAUGGAAACCACAGUGAGGUUUUCCUCACUAAGUUACUCUUUUGAAGGCAGACGCUAAUAACACCUGCUUUGAAACACCAUCCUUCUGAGGUCCUCUGGGAUUUUUUCUGAAUGGUGGCCCUUGUUGCCAUCUUAAAGGUCUAGUCAAGAUAAAACAUCAUGUUCCUCUGGACAACCUGAAUGGAGGGGGCAGCUUCAUACCAGGGCCUGACAAUCUUGCACAUAUCCACAUAGACCACAUAGGCAAUGCCUGAACCACAGCUGAUCUGAAUCUUGGCAGAACACCUUGGUAUCCUCCCAGAAGAUGAGCGCAAUGAGAGACUUGUAAGCAGCUCCUGCAAGGCCAUUUCCCACUCAGCUCUCUGUCUUCCAAAGAGACUGUCAUGAGGCAGUUUCUCAUUGCUUCCCGGGUUCCAGUGAGCCAUUCUGCCUUAGCCACUUAGAGUACAGCCACAGGUUAUAACAAGGCUUAGCUGCAGCAUGGCAUUGACCCCUCAGCAACAACGUGUCCACAACGUAUGCUGUAGUCAUCCAGCCCCUUCUGUUUUGGUGUCAUCAUUUUGGUAUCUGAGACAACAGCUCAUGGAGAGCUGGCACUUGCUUUUGCUUUUAAUGUCUGUGUAAAUAAUAAUAUGUCUAAAUUCAAAAAGGGCUCAUUUCUUUACCAGCCAAAUCUUUCAACCUUGUCUUGAUACCAAACAUCUGAUUCAUCAAUUAAUGGUAAAACAAACAAAACUACCAGACAGAUACUACCUGGGUACCAGAAAUAUAGAGAUUAAUAAAAUGAAGUCAUGAUUCCUUCUUUGUUUUUCCCUUUAAAAGAGAUGGGGUCUCACUCUGUUGCCCAGGCUGGAGUGCAGUGGCGUAAUCACAGCUUGCUGCAGCCUCAAACUUCUGGUAGGGAUCCUCCCGCCUCAGCCUCCUAAAACGCUGGGAUUACAGGUGUGAGCCACCAUGUCCAGCUUGAUUCCUUCUUUUAACAUUACCAUCUCUUAUUAAGGAAAUAAACAGCAACAACAGAAAAAAAACAAGUAUUCACAAGGCAGUGUAGAGCGCUACUAGAGAAGAGCAGAAUGCCUGUAAGGGUUCCUAAAUGAGAUGGUGUGCUGAGAGGGAAGGGAGGCACCCUGAAAUGGAGGAAGCCAGCAAGAAGUUUUCAGGCUGGGCAUGGUGGCCUGCACCUUUGGUCCCAGCUACUCAGGAGACCGAGUUGGGAGGAUUGCUUGAACCUGAGGGGUUGAGGAUGCAGUGAGCUGUGAUCGCAUCACUGUACUUAAGCCUUGUGGACAGAGCAAGAUCCUGAUCAAAAAGAAAAAAAAAAAAGUGUUCACAUUGGAAGGAAAGCAUAGACCUUCAGAUUUGGUGUUAUCAGAUUCCAUCCAAGACUGAUUUUUUUUCUAGGCUUUGGAGCUCUCAAUCCCCUUCAGCUCAAAAGUAUCUCCCUCUGGGCGCUUUCAGUACAUUGCUUAAAGAUUCCAUUUUAGCUAGUAAGUAUACAGUAUGAGGAGUCUUUUGAUUGCAAAACCUAACAGGCAAGCAUUGUUAGCUUCCUACACAAAGUGCUUCCCCUUACUUCUAAUACACUCCUGAUUUUUUGGAUGGAGAGCUGGGAGUGUGCCCAGCUGUAAGAAUAAAUUGUAAUUGAGCUAAGCUAUCCAUGACCAUUCUGCUUCCCUGUGCCAGAUACUGCUUUGCCUUGCUGGCAGCGAGGAAUGAGUAUGUGAUUCAUUUCUGGUCCAUGAGAUAUAAGGGGAAAUAGUUUGUAUCUUUGAAGAAAUUUAUCUAAUUCAUUUAAGUUGUCAGAUUUAUUGGCAUAAAGUUCACAAUUAUUUCCUUAAUAACUUUUAAUGUCUAAUAAUACUAAAUAGUUCCUUAAUAUCUUUUUAAUGUUUGUAGAGAUGUCCCCUCUUUCAUUCCUGACAUUGCUAAUUUCUGGUUUCUUUUUUCUUAAUCAAGACUUCAAGUUUUGCAUGAGGCUUAUCAAUUUUAUUAAUUUUUCAAAGAAUCAACUUUUGGCUUUGUUUAUUUGUUUCAUUAUUCUCUAUGGAGUUCUUCUCUUUUAAUAAAAUUAACUGACAGCAAAAUAUGGCACUUUUGGCGGGGGGCAGAUAUUUCUGAGUUUUAGAUUUGUGAAACGACCACCAAAAUCAUGAUACAGAAUAGUUCCAUCAUUCUGUAAAACUCCAUCAAGUUGUACUCACGCCUUUGCCACAUCCCUAAUUCAUGGCAACCAUAGAUUUGUCAUCUGUCACAAUAGUAUUGACUUGUCCAGAAUGUAAUAAAAAUGGAAUCAUAAGGUAUGUAA